UACGUAGGGAGCGAGCGUUGUCCGGAUUUAUUGGGCGUAAAGAGCGCGUAGGCGGCUCGGUAAGCCGGAUGUGAAACCUCCAAGCUCAACUUGGAGCGGCCAUUCGGAACUGCCGUGGCUAGAGUCUGGUAGGGGAACACGGAAUUCCUGGUGUAGCGGUGAAAUGCUUAGAUAUCAGGAGGAACACCAGUGGCGAAGGCGGUGUUCUGGGCCAGUACUGACGCUGAGGCGCGAAAGCGUGGGAGCGAACAGG
Molecule: ribosomal RNA, 253 nt
Filed under: uncultured bacterium
Lineage: Bacteria
Description: partial 16S ribosomal RNA
Rfam family: Bacterial small subunit ribosomal RNA
Source: RNAcentral